UGAGGAAUAUUGGUCAAUGGACGAAAGUCUGAACCAGCCAUGCCGCGUGAAGGAAUAAGGCCCUAUGGGUCGUAAACUUCUUUUGUAUGUGAGCAAUAAGGUCCACGCGUGGUCCGAUGAGAGUAGCAUACGAAUAAGCAUCGGCUAACUCCGUGCCAGCAGCCGCGGUAAUACGGAGGAUGCGAGCGUUAUCCGGAUUUAUUGGGUUUAAAGGGAGCGUAGGCCGGAGGGUAAGCGUGUUGUGAAAUGCAGUUGCUCAACAUCUGCACUGCAGCGCGAACUGUUCUCCUUGAGUGCGCAGGAAGUAGGCGGAAUUCGUCGUGUAGCGGUGAAAUGCUUAGAUAUGACGAAGAACUCCGAUUGGGAAGCCAGCUUACUGUAGCGCCACUGACGCUGA
RNAcentral lists this ribosomal RNA (397 nucleotides) under uncultured Prevotella sp. RNAcentral describes it as "bacterial SSU rRNA". It matches the Rfam family "Bacterial small subunit ribosomal RNA", at positions 355 to 749 of the family's 1533-position model. The record is from RNAcentral. Lineage: Bacteria; Pseudomonadati; Bacteroidota; Bacteroidia; Bacteroidales; Prevotellaceae.